This 460-nucleotide ribosomal RNA is filed under the name uncultured bacterium. Its description in RNAcentral is "partial 16S ribosomal RNA". It matches the Rfam family "Bacterial small subunit ribosomal RNA", at positions 338 to 795 of the family's 1533-position model. The record is from RNAcentral.
CCUACGGGAGGCAGCAGUGAGGAAUAUUGGUCAAUGGACGAGAGUCUGAACCAGCCAAGUAGCGUGAAGGAUGACUGCCCUAUGGGUUGUAAACUUCUUUUAUAUGGGAAUAAAACGUUCCACGUGUGGGAUUUUGUAUGUACCAUAUGAAUAAGGAUCGGCUAACUCCGUGCCAGCAGCCGCGGUAAUACGGAGGAUCCGAGCGUUAUCCGGAUUUAUUGGGUUUAAAGGGAGCGUAGGUGGAUUGUUAAGUCAGUUGUGAAAGUGUGCGGCUCAACCGUAAAAUUGCAGUUGAAACUGGCAGUCUUGAGUACAGUAGAGGUGGGCGGAAUUCGUGGUGUAGCGGUGAAAUGCUUAGAUAUCACGAAGAACUCCGAUUGCGAAGGCAGUUCACUGGACUGCAACUGACACUGAGGCUCGAAAGUGUGGGUAUCAAACAGGAUUAGAUACCCUAGUAGUC